RNAcentral lists this ribosomal RNA (547 nucleotides) under uncultured haloarchaeon. RNAcentral describes it as "bacterial SSU rRNA". It matches the Rfam family "Archaeal small subunit ribosomal RNA", at positions 340 to 886 of the family's 1478-position model. The record is from RNAcentral. Lineage: Archaea; Methanobacteriati; Methanobacteriota; Halobacteria; Halobacteriales; Halobacteriaceae.
CGCGAAACCUUUACACUGCACGACAGUGCGAUAGGGGGACUCCGAGUGCGAGGGCAUAGAGCCCUCGCUUUUCUGUACCGUAAGGUGGUACAGGAAGAAGGGCUGGGCAAGACCGGUGCCAGCCGCCGCGGUAAUACCGGCAGCCCAAGUGAUGGCCGAUAUUAUUGGGCCUAAAGCGUCCGUAGCUGGCCGGACAAGUCCGUUGGGAAAUCCGCACGCUUAACGUGCGGGCGUCCAGCGGAAACUGUCCGGCUUGGGACCGGAAGACCCGAGGGGUACGUCCGGGGUAGGAGUGAAAUCCUGUAAUCUCGGACGGACCACCUGUGGCGAAAGCGCCUCGGGAAGACGGAUCCGACAGUGAGGGACGAAAGCCAGGGUCUCGAACCGGAUUAGAUACCCGGGUAGUCCUGGCCGUAAACGAUGUCCGCUAGGUGUGACGCAGGCUACGAGCCUGCGCUGUGCCGUAGGGAAGCCGUGAAGCGGACCGCCUGGGAAGUACGUCUGCAAGGAUGAAACUUAAAGGAAUUGGSGGGGGAGCACUACAACC